UGGGCAGAGUCCGGCUCCCGUAGGAGUCCAGACGAGGCUUACCAGCGGUUGAAGUUGGGGAUGGAGCCCGGCUCCCGUAGGAGUCCGGGCGGAGUCUACUUGCAGUUGGAGUUGUGGGUGGAGUCCGACUCCCGUAAGAGUCCGGACGAGGUCUGUCUGCAGCCGGAGUUGGGGAUGAGGCCCGACUCGCGUAGGGGUCCGGGUGGAGUCUUCCUGCAAUUAAAGUCAGGGGCGAAGUCCGGCUCCCGUAGGAGUCCGGACGAAGCUUACCAACAGUUGAAGUUGGGGAUGGAGCCCGGCUCCCG
Molecule: long non-coding RNA, 305 nt
Filed under: Elaeis guineensis (African oil palm)
Lineage: Eukaryota; Viridiplantae; Streptophyta; Magnoliopsida; Arecales; Arecaceae
Description: long non-coding RNA (EGUI_LNC038176)
Source: RNAcentral